This 402-nucleotide ribosomal RNA is filed under the name uncultured bacterium. RNAcentral describes it as "bacterial SSU rRNA". It matches the Rfam family "Bacterial small subunit ribosomal RNA", at positions 355 to 774 of the family's 1533-position model. The record is from RNAcentral.
UGGGGAAUAUUGGACAAUGGGCGAAAGCCUGAUCCAGCCAUGCCGCGUGAGUGAUGAAGGCCUUAGGGUUGUAAAGCUCUUUCAGUGGGGAAGAUAAUGACGGUACCCACAGAAGAAGCCCCGGCUAACUUCGUGCCAGCAGCCGCGGUAAUACGAAGGGGGCUAGCGUUGUUCGGAUUUACUGGGCGUAAAGCGCACGUAGGCGGAUUGUUAAGUCAGGGGUGAAAUCCUGGAGCUCAACUCCAGAACUGCCUUUGAUACUGGCAAUCUUGAGUCCGGAAGAGGUGAGUGGAACUCCUAGUGUAGAGGUGGAAUUCGUAGAUAUUAGGAAGAACACCAGUGGCGAAGGCGGCUCACUGGUCCGGUACUGACGCUGAGGUGCGAAAGCGUGGGGAGCAAACA